UGCUGAAUGACCUGGUGACCUGGGCCAC
Molecule: non-coding RNA, 28 nt
Filed under: Homo sapiens (human)
Lineage: Eukaryota; Metazoa; Chordata; Mammalia; Primates; Hominidae
Source: RNAcentral